RNAcentral lists this ribosomal RNA (1066 nucleotides) under Henneguya eirasi. RNAcentral's name for it is "bacterial SSU rRNA". It matches the Rfam family "Eukaryotic small subunit ribosomal RNA", at positions 297 to 1254 of the family's 1831-position model. The record is from RNAcentral. Lineage: Eukaryota; Metazoa; Cnidaria; Myxozoa; Bivalvulida; Myxobolidae.
GAUUGAAUUUCUGCCCUAUCAACUUUGUUGGCAGUGUAGUGGACUGCCAAGGUUUUAACGGGGUAACGGGGGAUCAGGGUUCGAUUCCGGAGAGGGAGCGUGAGAAACGGCUACCACAUCCAAGGAAGGCAGCAGGCGCGCAAAUUACCCAAUCCAGACAAUGGGAGGUGGUGACGAAAAGUACCGGAUGGCGACAUUGUUGCCAGUCUGGAAUGAAAACAAUUUAAGCAAUUGAAUUGAGUAACGACUGGAGGGCAAGUCUGGUGCCAGCAGCCGCGGUAAUUCCAGCUCCAGUGGCGUAUCUCAAAGUUGCUGCGCUUAAAACGCUCGUAGUUGGAUCACUCACUACAAAUCGGUGUGCUUUGCUGUGGUGCAUUUCUGAAAACACAUUGAGAAAUCAGUGUCCCUGUUCGGAUGCACUGCAGCGGGUUUUUUAGCCGAUUUGUAGUAAUUGCACGUGAGGAUGGUCGUUGACCUUGAGUGCGUUGAUGACUGUGUCUCACGGGGUGUGCCUUGAGUAAAUCAGAGUGCUUAAAGCAGGCGUAACGCUUGAAUGUUGAUAGCAUGGAACGAACAAUCGUGUAUGGUGUGCAUUGAUAACGGUUGCAUUUAUUGCCACUGCAAUGCAUGACACCGACCACCAAUUACGUAUGUUGGUUACGUAUUGGGGUACUGAUUAAGAGGAGCGGUUGGGGGCAUUGGUAUUUGGCAGCGAGAGGUGAAAUUCUUGGACCUGCCAAGGACUAACAAAUGCGAAGGCAUCUGUCCAGACCGUAUCUAUUAAUCAAGAACGAAAGAGAGAGGUUCGAAGACGAUCAGAUACCGUCCUAGUUCUCUCUGUAAACUAUGCCGACCCGGGAUCAGUUUGGAGUUAAUUUGUCCACGCUCGGAGUUGGUCCCCCUGGGAAACCUAAAGUUUUUCGGUUGCGGGGGGAGUAUGGUCGCAAGGCUGAAACUUAAAGGAAUUGACGGAAGGGCACCACCAGGGGUGGAGCCUGCGGCUUAAUUUGACUCAACACGGGAAAACUUACCUGAUCCGAACAUUUUAAGGAUAAACAGAUUGCAG